RNAcentral lists this ribosomal RNA (253 nucleotides) under uncultured bacterium. RNAcentral describes it as "partial 16S ribosomal RNA". It matches the Rfam family "Bacterial small subunit ribosomal RNA", at positions 524 to 776 of the family's 1533-position model. The record is from RNAcentral.
GACGGGGGGUCCUAGCGUUGUUCGGAAUCAUUGGGCGUAAAGCGUGUGCAGGUGGUUUGGAAAGUUGGAUGUGAAAGCCUUGGGCUUAACCCAAGAAGUGCAUUCAAAACUCCCAAACUUGAGUAGGGAAGAGGGUCGUGGAAUUCCAGGUGUAGUGGUGAAAUACGUAGAUAUCUGGAGGAACACCGGUGGCGAAGGCGGCGACCUGGUCCUAUACUGACACUCAUACACGAAAGCGUGGGGAUCAAACAGG